AUCCUUCGGUUCAUAAGCGUGCUGAUUGGGUGUUCAUGCUAUUGUGUGUGAUGUGCCUCCCUCUAAACCUUGUUACGACUGCGGCACAUUACCCAUGUGACA
Sciurus vulgaris (Eurasian red squirrel) is the source of this 102-nucleotide small nucleolar RNA. Lineage: Eukaryota; Metazoa; Chordata; Mammalia; Rodentia; Sciuridae. The record is from Ensembl.